AUUGAACGCUGGCGGCAGGCCUAACACAUGCAAGUCGAAUGGUAACAGGAAACAGCUUGCUGUUUCGCUGACGAGUGGCGGACGGGUGAGUAAUGUCUGGGAAACUGCCUGAUGGAGGGGGAUAACUACUGGAAACGGUAGCUAAUACCGCAUAACGUCGCAAGACCAAAGAGGGGGACCUUCGGGCCUCUUGCCAUCAGAUGUGCCCAGAUGGUAUUAGCUAGUAGGUGGGGUAACGGCUCACCUAGGCGACGAUCCCUAGCUGGUCUGAGAGGAUGACCAGCCACACUGGAACUGAGCCACGGUCCAGACUCCUACGGGAGGCAGCAGUGGGGAAUAUUGCACAAUGGGCGCAAGCCUGAUGCAGCCAUGCCGCGUGUAUGAAGAAGGCCUUCGGGUUGUAAAGUACUUUCAGCGGGGAGGAAGGGAGUAAAGUUAAUACCUUUGCUCAUUGACGUUACCCGCAGAAGAAGCACCGGCUAACUCCGUG
Molecule: ribosomal RNA, 490 nt
Filed under: uncultured bacterium
Lineage: Bacteria
Description: partial 16S ribosomal RNA
Rfam family: Bacterial small subunit ribosomal RNA
Source: RNAcentral